RNAcentral lists this ribosomal RNA (497 nucleotides) under uncultured bacterium. RNAcentral's name for it is "partial 16S ribosomal RNA". It matches the Rfam family "Bacterial small subunit ribosomal RNA", at positions 28 to 507 of the family's 1533-position model. The record is from RNAcentral.
GAUGAACGCUGGCGGCGUGCCUAAUACAUGCAAGUCGAGCGAACGGAUGAGAAGCUUGCUUCUCUGAUGUUAGCGGCGGACGGGUGAGUAACACGUGGAUAACCUACCUAUAAGACUGGGAUAACUUCGGGAAACCGUAGCUAAUACCGUAUAAUAUUUUGAACCGCAUGGUUCAAAAGUGAAAGACGGUCUUGCUGUCACUUAUAGAUGGAUCCGCGCUGCAUUAGCUAGUUGGUAAGGUAACGGCUUACCAAGGCAACGAUGCAUAGCCGACCUGAGAGGGUGAUCGGCCACACUGGAACUGAGACACGGUCCAGACUCCUACGGGAGGCAGCAGUAGGGAAUCUUCCGCAAUGGGCGAAAGCCUGACGGAGCAACGCCGCGUGAGUGAUGAAGGUCUUCGGAUCGUAAAACUCUGUUAUUGGGGAAGAACAUAUGUGUAAGUAACUGUGCACAUCUUGACGGUACCUAAUCAGAAAGCCACGGCUAACUACGUG